Molecule: ribosomal RNA, 425 nt
Filed under: uncultured bacterium
Lineage: Bacteria
Description: bacterial SSU rRNA
Rfam family: Bacterial small subunit ribosomal RNA
Source: RNAcentral
UCGAGAAUCUUCGGCAAUGGGCGCAAGCCUGACCGAGCGACGCCGCGUGCGGGAUGAAGGCCUUCGGGUUGUAAACCGCUGUCGUAGAGGAGGAAAUGUCAUGGGGUUCUCUCCAUGAUUUGACCUAUUCUAGGAGGAAGGACGGGCUAAGUUCGUGCCAGCAGCCGCGGUAAGACGAACCGUCCAAACGUUAUUCGGAAUUAUUGGGCUUAAAGGGUGCGUAGGCUGUGCAGUAAGUUGGGUGUGAAAUCCCUCGGCUCAACCGAGGAACUGCGCCGAAUACUGCUGUGCUAGAGGAAGAUAGGGGUAAGCGGAACUGAUGGUGGAGCGGUGAAAUGCGUUGAUAUCAUCAGGAACACCGGUGGCGAAGGCGGCUUACUGGAUCUUUUCUGACGCUGAUGCACGAAAGCUAGGGGAGCGAACGG